ACAUUGAUGGUUCAGUGUUAGAAUUUUCACCUCCCACGUGGGAGACCUGGGUUAGAAUCCUGACCAAUGUC
RNAcentral lists this transfer RNA (71 nucleotides) under Loxodonta africana (African savanna elephant). It matches the Rfam family "tRNA". From Rfam's summary of the family: Transfer RNA (tRNA) molecules are approximately 80 nucleotides in length. Their secondary structure includes four short double-helical elements and three loops (D, anti-codon, and T loops). The record is from Rfam by way of RNAcentral. Lineage: Eukaryota; Metazoa; Chordata; Mammalia; Proboscidea; Elephantidae.